CUCUUUUCUCUCUCUCUAGGAAAGAAAGGAAAGAAGGAGAAGAAGAAAGAGAAGAAAGAAAAGAAGGAAAAGAGGAAGAAGUAGAAGGAGAAGUCUAAGAAGAAGAAGAAGAAGGUCUUCUUCUCUCUCUCCUUCAACCUAGGGCAAGCUUGGAGCUUGGCUUAGAGGUAAGCUUCCAACCCUUUAAUGGAAAUUCUAGGGUUUUAGGUUUUUAUGGUUUAGAAUUGGUUCAAAUGGAACCUAUUGGGAAUGAAUAGAUGGUUCGAGCUCAAAAUCGAAGCUCGCACCAUGGAUUUCCCUCUCGUCGCCAUUCUAGGGCACGGAUUGGGAUUUUGGGAAAUCUAGGGUUUUGAUCUAAUUUAUUGGGUCGCUAACCUAAUUGCUAGGUCUCGGAACGCGUCGGCGAAGACGGUUUGCCGAUCCGACGAGCGAGUGCGGAGUUAUCGCCGAAUCGGGUACUCGAGGGCUCGCUUCGCCCCGAGGAGUUGAAGCGACGUGCAAAGACCGCAACGUCGAGUUUUCCAUCAUCGCGGCAUCGCCAAGAGGUGGGUGGUGUCCAUCCCGAAGCAAUCGGGCUCCCUCCUAUGUCUUAGUACAU
Molecule: long non-coding RNA, 598 nt
Filed under: Ananas comosus (pineapple)
Lineage: Eukaryota; Viridiplantae; Streptophyta; Magnoliopsida; Poales; Bromeliaceae
Description: long non-coding RNA (ACOM_LNC042008)
Source: RNAcentral